RNAcentral lists this ribosomal RNA (520 nucleotides) under uncultured Glomus. RNAcentral's name for it is "SSU rRNA". It matches the Rfam family "Eukaryotic small subunit ribosomal RNA", at positions 569 to 1091 of the family's 1831-position model. The record is from RNAcentral. Lineage: Eukaryota; Fungi; Glomeromycota; Glomeromycetes; Glomerales; Glomeraceae.
AGCAGCCGCGGUAAUUCCAGCUCCAAUAGCGUAUAUUAAAGUUGUUGCAGUUAAAAAGCUCGUAGUUGAAUUUCGGGAUCAGUACGCUGGUCGUGCCUUUGGUAUGUACUGGUGUCACUGAUUCCUCCCUUCUGAAGAACCGUUAUGCCAUUUAUUUGGUGUGGCGGGAAAUCAGGACUGUUACUUUGAAAAAAUUAGAGUGUUUAAAGCAGGCUCGCGCUUGAAUACAUUAGCAUGGAAUAAUGAAAUAGGACGUUUGAUCUUAUUUUGUUGGUUUCUAGGAUCGACGUAAUGAUUAAUAGGGAUAGUUGGGGGCAUUAGUAUUCAAUUGUCAGAGGUGAAAUUCUUGGAUUUAUUGAAGACUAACUACUGCGAAAGCAUUUGCCAAGGAUGUUUUCAUUAAUCAAGAACGAAAGUUAGGGGAUCGAAGACGAUCAGAUACCGUCGUAGUCUUAACCAUAAACUAUGCCGACUAGGGAUCGGAUGAUGUUAAUUUUUAAUGACUCAUUCGGCGCCUUAA